CGAACGGGUGAGUAACACGUAGGUAACCUGCCCACAGAUUGGGGAUAACAUGCCUAACGGCGUGCUAAUACCGAAUGUGGCCUUGUUUCAUAAGGGACAAGGUUAAAGAUUGUUUAGAUUGUCUGUGGAUGGGCCUGCGGCUCAUUAGCUAGUUGGUAGGGUAACGGCCUACCAAGGCUGCGAUGGGUAGCCGGCCUGAGAGGGUGGUCGGCCACACUGGGACUGAGAUACGGCCCAG
RNAcentral lists this ribosomal RNA (238 nucleotides) under uncultured bacterium. RNAcentral describes it as "partial 16S ribosomal RNA". It matches the Rfam family "Bacterial small subunit ribosomal RNA", at positions 99 to 334 of the family's 1533-position model. The record is from RNAcentral.